Molecule: ribosomal RNA, 264 nt
Filed under: uncultured archaeon
Lineage: Archaea
Description: partial 16S ribosomal RNA
Rfam family: Archaeal small subunit ribosomal RNA
Source: RNAcentral
AGACGUCUACAUUAGAUACCCCUGUAGUCCCAGCCGUAAACUAUGCGCGUUAGGUGUAUCGGUGACCACGAGUCACCGAGGUGCCGAAGGGUAGCCGUUAAACUCGCUGCCUGGGGAGUACGGUCGCAAGGCUGAAACUUAAAGGAAUUGGCGGGGAGCACCACAAGAGGUGGAGGCUGCGGUUCAAUUGGACUCAACGCCGGAAAACUCAUCGGGAGCGACAGCAGUAUGAUUGCCAGGUUGAUGACCUUGCUUGACAAGCUG